CUGACAAAGAAAAGAAGGGGCGACGAUUGUGCCAAAAAGGGCUGCAGCCACGUGCAGCCUGUUCGCUGCACCAUCUGCGCCCAAUGCCUGCCCAAGGACAAGGCUAUUAAGAAGUUCCUCAUCCAAAACACAGUAGAGGCCACCGCUGUCAGGGACAUUUCUGAAGCAAGCGUCUUCACCGCCUAUAUACUUCCGAAGUUGUAUGUAAAGCUACAUUAUUGUGUGAGUUGUGCCAUUCACAGCAAGGUAGUCAGGAAUUGAUCUCGUGAAGCCUGCAAGGACCAAACACUCCCACCCUGAUUUACAUGUGCAGGUGUUGCCCUACGGCCUCCACCAAAGCCCUUGUAA
RNAcentral lists this long non-coding RNA (348 nucleotides) under Homo sapiens (human). RNAcentral's name for it is "non-protein coding lnc-UPK1B-2:1". The record is from RNAcentral. Lineage: Eukaryota; Metazoa; Chordata; Mammalia; Primates; Hominidae.